UAACACGUGAGCAACCUGCCUUUCAGUGGGGGACAACAUUUGGAAACGAAUGCUAAUACCGCAUAAGACCACAGUGUCGCAUGGCACAGGGGUCAAAGGAUUUAUCCGCUGAAAGAUGGGCUCGCGUCCGAUUAGCUAGAUGGUGAGGUAACGGCCCACCAUGGCGACGAUCGGUAGCCGGACUGAGAGGUUGAACGGCCACAUUGGGACUGAGACACGGCCCAGACUCCUACGGGAGGCAGCAGUGGGGAAUAUUGCACAAUGGGGGAAACCCUGAUGCAGCGACGCCGCGUGGAGGAAGAAGGUCUUCGGAUUGUAAACUCCUGUCCCAGGGGACGAUAAUGACGGUACCCUGGGAGGAAGCACCGGCUAACUACGUGCCAGCAGCCGCGGUAAAACGUAGGGUGCAAGCGUUGUCCGGAAUUACUGGGUGUAAAGGGAGCGCAGGCGGAUUGACAAGUUGGGAGUGAAAUCUAUGGGCUCAACCCAUAAAUUGCUUUCAAAACUGUCAGUCUUGAGUGGUGUAGAGGUAGGCGGAAUUCCCGGUGUAGCGGUGGAAUGCGGAGAUAUCGGGAGGAACACCAGUGGCGAAAGCGGCCUACUGGGCACUAACUGACGCUGAGGCUCGAAAGCAUGGGUAGCAAACAGGAUUAGAUACCCUGGUAGUCCAUGCCGUAAACGAUGAUUACUAGGUGUGGGAGGAUUGACCCCUU
This 713-nucleotide ribosomal RNA is filed under the name uncultured bacterium. Its description in RNAcentral is "bacterial SSU rRNA". It matches the Rfam family "Bacterial small subunit ribosomal RNA", at positions 111 to 840 of the family's 1533-position model. The record is from RNAcentral.